AAGUCGUAACAAGGUUUCCGUAGGUGAACCUGCGGAAGGAUCAUUACCUUUCAAUGCAGCAGAAUGGGGAUGGUUGAGUUUCUCGCCUCUCUGUUCUGCCUGUAUUCUACCCUUGUUUGUCAUAUACUAUUAUUUCCUCGGCAGACUUGCUUGCCGAGUGAAACCAAUUAUAACCUAUUUAAUUUUCAAUCAGCGUCUGAACAAAAUUAAUAAUUACAACUUUCAACAACGGAUCUCUUGGUUCUG
RNAcentral lists this unclassified non-coding RNA (246 nucleotides) under Paraphoma sp. RNAcentral describes it as "partial internal transcribed spacer region". The stretch from base 1 to 46 matches the Rfam family "Eukaryotic small subunit ribosomal RNA", at positions 1786 to 1831 of the family's 1831-position model. Lineage: Eukaryota; Fungi; Ascomycota; Dothideomycetes; Pleosporales; Phaeosphaeriaceae. The record is from RNAcentral.